RNAcentral lists this ribosomal RNA (492 nucleotides) under uncultured bacterium. RNAcentral's name for it is "partial 16S ribosomal RNA". It matches the Rfam family "Bacterial small subunit ribosomal RNA", at positions 29 to 507 of the family's 1533-position model. The record is from RNAcentral.
AGUGAACGCUAGCGGUAGGCCUAACACAUGCAAGUCGAACGGCAGCACAGUAAGAGCUUGCUCUUACGGGUGGCGAGUGGCGGACGGGUGAGGAAUACAUCGGAAUCUACUUUUUCGUGGGGGAUAACGUAGGGAAACUUACGCUAAUACCGCAUACGACCUACGGGUGAAAGCAGGGGAUCUUCGGACCUUGCGCGAUUGAAUGAGCCGAUGUCGGAUUAGCUAGUUGGCGGGGUAAAGGCCCACCAAGGCGACGAUCCGUAGCUGGUCUGAGAGGAUGAUCAGCCACACUGGAACUGAGACACGGUCCAGACUCCUACGGGAGGCAGCAGUGGGGAAUAUUGGACAAUGGGUGCAAGCCUGAUCCAGCCAUACCGCGUGGGUGAAGAAGGCCUUCGGGUUGUAAAGCCCUUUUGUUGGGAAAGAAAAGCAGCAGGUUAAUACCCCGCUGUUCUGACGGUACCCAAAGAAUAAGCACCGGCUAACUUCGUG